This 63-nucleotide transfer RNA is filed under the name Geisha distinctissima. Its description in RNAcentral is "tRNA-Asn". The record is from RNAcentral. Lineage: Eukaryota; Metazoa; Arthropoda; Insecta; Hemiptera; Flatidae.
UUAAUUGAAGCUAAAAUAGAAGCAUUUCACUGUUAAUGAAAAAAAUGGAAAACCCCAAUUAAA